This 497-nucleotide ribosomal RNA is filed under the name uncultured bacterium. Its description in RNAcentral is "partial 16S ribosomal RNA". It matches the Rfam family "Bacterial small subunit ribosomal RNA", at positions 28 to 507 of the family's 1533-position model. The record is from RNAcentral.
GAUGAACGCUGGCGGCGUGCCUAAUACAUGCAAGUCGAGCGAACAGACGAGGAGCUUGCUCCUUCGACGUUAGCGGCGGACGGGUGAGUAACACGUAGGUAACCUACCUAUAAGACUGGGAUAACUUCGGGAAACCGGAGCUAAUACCGGAUAAUAUUUCGAACCGCAUGGUUCGAUAGUGAAAGAUGGCUUUGCUAUCACUUAUAGAUGGACCUGCGCCGUAUUAGCUAGUUGGUAAGGUAACGGCCUACCAAGGCAACGAUACGUAGCCGACCUGAGAGGGCGAUCGGCCACACUGGAACUGAGACACGGUCCAGACUCCUACGGGAGGCAGCAGUAGGGAAUCUUCCGCAAUGGGCGAAAGCCUGACGGAGCAACGCCGCGUGAGUGAUGAAGGUCUUCGGAUCGUAAAACUCUGUUAUUAGGGAAGAACAAACGUGUAAGUAACUGUGCACGUCUUGACGGUACCUAAUCAGAAAGCCACGGCUAACUACGUG